Molecule: unclassified non-coding RNA, 305 nt
Filed under: Hevea brasiliensis (rubber tree)
Lineage: Eukaryota; Viridiplantae; Streptophyta; Magnoliopsida; Malpighiales; Euphorbiaceae
Source: RNAcentral
CCCCUUACAUGUAUCAAAUAUAUCAUAUCUUCAAUAACCAUCACUCUCAGAUGCUCAAAAAUAGCCGACUCCUGUUGGCAAAGUUUAAGAAGUGCACACAGUUGCUCCUGCAGUUCAGGCAUCUUUCCACCAUAGUCAACCAUUAUUACUGGCCUCAUCUCCGUGCACAACGCCAGAACAUCUAAUUGGAGUCGAUGCUUGGAUGGAGAUUUGAGGCGCCAUUUGAUGUGGGAUAGAGAAGAAUCCAACACCCUCAGUGCUUCCUCCACCUCUGCAACCUCCAUUUCUCGUCUCUCCUUCUUCCC